This 253-nucleotide ribosomal RNA is filed under the name uncultured bacterium. RNAcentral's name for it is "partial 16S ribosomal RNA". It matches the Rfam family "Bacterial small subunit ribosomal RNA", at positions 524 to 776 of the family's 1533-position model. The record is from RNAcentral.
UACGUAGGUGGCGAGCGUUGUCCGGAAUUACUGGGUGUAAAGCGCGUGUAGGCGGCAGGCCAAGUCGGUGGUGAAAGCGCCCGGCUCAACUGGGCGAGGUCCAUGGAAACUGGUCAGCUGGAGGACGGUAGAGGCGAGUGGAAUUCCCGGUGUAGUGGUGAAAUGCGUAGAGAUCGGGAGGACCACCUGUGGCGAAGGCGGCUCGCUGGGCCGGUCCUGACGCUGAAACGCGAAGGCGUGGGGAGCGAACGGG